Molecule: long non-coding RNA, 1341 nt
Organism: Hydra vulgaris (swiftwater hydra)
Lineage: Eukaryota; Metazoa; Cnidaria; Hydrozoa; Anthoathecata; Hydridae
Source: RefSeq, a predicted model, not a curated record
AAUAAAAACAUAAUAUUCAUACGAGUUUAAAGUUUUAACAGUUACCGAUGGUUCAUUAUUAUUCAUUAUAUAAACAUUUAUUUAGAUUUAUCUAAUAGACUAAGGUAAUAAUAAUAAUAUACAAUACUGUUGAAAUUUAACGCCAUGUUAAAUCUUUUACAGACAUAACAAGAAAAAGAUAGUCAAUUAAGUCUAGUUUAGCUUUAACUAAGUUGAGAUUUUUAACUUCCACUGUUUCAAUUGGUAAAUUGUUCCAGAACUUGAAUGUGCGAUUUGUAAAAAAACCCUCACGAUUUCGAUUUAAAUAUUUCUUAUCAGUGAAUAAAUGUUUAUUACCUCGAAUGUUUGAACACAGACCUGAAGAAUUUAAAGAGCACGAAUGUUGAGGGGGUAUUUUUCAAGUUAUUUUCUCUAUAUCAUAAUACCAUUUGUACAUUUGUAUUACAAUAUUUUUAUAGAUGAUAUUAUUUUUAAAAGUUUUAUUAUUAUUAAUAUUCAGAACAAAAAUAUUUUAAAAAAAUUAUUUACAAGUAUUGGAAAAACAUUGUUUUAAUAUGAAUUUUUUUGUUUUACAGUGCAGUCUAUAUCUCAAACAUUAACGAGAAUUGUUUUGUGUCAGUGCUAGAAAUUAAAUGCACACCAGUAAAUUUCAUAAUUAAAAUAUUAUGAAUCCAUUAGCAAAUAAAAUUGUAUCCUCUAAAGAUAUGAAGGUAUUAUUUGCACAAUUGGCAAGCAUUAAAGUGCAACUUGGUGAACUACAAAACACGUCAAAUUUAAUUUUAAAAAAUAAUUAGAAAAAGUAACAAAGAUAUGCCAAUUAGUGAUUUGCCUGACAGAGUGUCAUCGCCACUAAAAGCAGUAAAGAGUUUAAGUACCCUAGAAGAAAAAUUAAAAGACAAGAAAAUACUUAAGCAAAUGGUUAAUUAUUUGAGACAAAUUAGAGUUAAAGAUGAAGGAGAUUGUAUAUGUUAUUUACUAAGAAUAGUUUUUAAAAAUGGCCUAGCUGUAAAAUUAAAUUAUGCAGAAAGAGGACAAAAAAUCGGAAUAGGAAAAUGUUGAUUGUAUAUGUUGCUAUUGAGACUGUGAAGUCAAAUAAGCAUGGCUUAUGCAGACAUGUGAAAGUGAUGGUGAAAGAAAAGAUAAUAGUCGUGGGCAACAAAUAUCAUUAGCUAAACACGAUUCAAUAACAAGUAGCUCAGCCAAUAUCAAGAUUCCUCCAUAAAUUUUAUAGGAAAUUUUUUUUAUUUAAAACCCAAUGUGUUAGUUUUUGGUUUAUGUUUGGUGUUUGCAAUAUGUAUAUUUAACGGAUGUAAAUUAAAUAAAUGAGUUUUUUUACUUGAA